CUGACUUCUCAGAAUAUGCCUUCUCACAUUUUAGAAGAUUCAGGCUGUCUCCCUCAUUGCCAUGCUGACAAGCAGCAACAGACAUAAAGUUGAAAUAAAAAUGAAACCACAUGACAGGACUGGGACCCUCUCCUGUUUCCCCACUGAGUGGGUAAUCCAGGUUCACAAUACAUCCGGUGCUUCACAGACAAUACACGGCUUUCAGUUGCUGGACUGUUAUAAGAACAGUGACUCAAACCCUGCAGCAAUUUGUUUCCUGGCUUUCUGUUCAUCGAGAACUCCUCUAGGCACCCUGAUAGAAUCUAUGUAUACUCUAUCAUUGAAUGAUAUUCCUAAGCCUUUUUUACUUCUUCUGGGUAUUUGUGAUGUUUCUCUUUCAAAUGCCAGGGUGAAGGGUAUAGCUAAUUGAACAAGUGCCUCCCCAAUUAGAUGGUAGGGUGGACUGUAAGAUCUUCCCUCCACAGUACCACCAGAGAUCUGCUCUGGAGAUCUCAAGUCUUGAGCAGUUUCCUAUCAAGUCCUUGGUAGCACAAGGCAAAUACUCCCAGAUUCUGGGUAGCACUCACACCCUGCUGUGAGAUGCAAGCUAGGUUACCUAUAGCUGUAGGUUACCUGUAGCUGUAGAGAAUGCAGGGGGAACCAUGAUAUUGCUGUUACACAAGGAAGGGAACAGCAAAGAGAGACACUUACAAGCCUCAUUUUCCCAGGCAGUCUUUUCUUGGAACAAUGCAAUACAACAUUUCUAUUCCCACACCUUGGUAUUUCGCUUUCUUAGAAACUUUCAAUGAUUUUUAAGCUGUCAGUUAUGGUUUGUUACU
RNAcentral lists this long non-coding RNA (818 nucleotides) under Anas platyrhynchos platyrhynchos (common mallard). RNAcentral describes it as "lncRNA (ENSAPLG00000026942.1)". Lineage: Eukaryota; Metazoa; Chordata; Aves; Anseriformes; Anatidae. The record is from RNAcentral.